GACGAAAGUCUGACGGAGCAACGCCGCGUGAGUGAUGAAGGUUUUCGGAUCGCAAAACUCUGUUGUUAGGGAAGAACAAGUACCGUUCGAAUAGGGCGGUACCUUGACGGUACCUAACCAGAAAGCCACGGCUAACUACGUGCCAGCAGCCGCGGUAAUACGUAGGUGGCAAGCGUUGUCCGGAAUCAUUGGGCGUAAAGCGCGCGCAGGUGGUUCCUUAAGUCUGAUGUGAAAGCCCCCGGCUCAACCGGGGAGGGUCAUUGGAAACUGGGGAACUUGAGUGCAGAAGAGGAAAGUGGAAUUCCACGUGUAGCGGUGAAAUGCGUAGAGAUGUGGAGGAACACCAGUGGCGAAGGCGACUUUCUGGUCUGUAACUGACACUGAGGCGCGAAAGCGUGGGGAGCGAACAGGAUUAGAUACCCUGGUAGUCCACGCCGUAAACGAUGAGUGCUAAGUGUUAGGGGGUUUCCGCCCCUUAGUGCUGCAGCAAACGCAUUAAGCACUCCGCCUGGGGAGUACG
Molecule: ribosomal RNA, 520 nt
Filed under: uncultured bacterium
Lineage: Bacteria
Description: bacterial SSU rRNA
Rfam family: Bacterial small subunit ribosomal RNA
Source: RNAcentral